GAUGAACGCUAGCUACAGGCUUAACACAUGCAAGUCGAGGGGCAGCAUGACGAUAGCUUGCUAUUGUCGAUGGCGACCGGCGCACGGGUGAGUAACGCGUAUCCAACCUUCCCGUUGCUAGGGGAUAACCUUGCGAAAGUAAGACUAAUACCCUAUGAAGUUCUUCGCAGGCAUCUAAAGAGAACGAAAGAUUUAUCGGCAACGGAUGGGGAUGCGUCUGAUUAGGUUGUUGGCGGGGUAACGGCCCACCAAGGCAACGAUCAGUAGGGGUUCUGAGAGGAAGGUCCCCCACAUUGGAACUGAGACACGGUCCAAAACUCCUACGGGAGGCAGCAGUGAGGAAUAUUGGUCAAGUGGGCGAGAGCCUGAACCAGCCAAGUAGCGUGCAGGACGACGGCCCUAUGGGUUGUAAAC
This 414-nucleotide ribosomal RNA is filed under the name uncultured bacterium. Its description in RNAcentral is "bacterial SSU rRNA". It matches the Rfam family "Bacterial small subunit ribosomal RNA", at positions 28 to 430 of the family's 1533-position model. The record is from RNAcentral.